This 533-nucleotide ribosomal RNA is filed under the name Pseudarthrobacter phenanthrenivorans. RNAcentral describes it as "bacterial SSU rRNA". It matches the Rfam family "Bacterial small subunit ribosomal RNA", at positions 373 to 916 of the family's 1533-position model. The record is from RNAcentral. Lineage: Bacteria; Bacillati; Actinomycetota; Actinomycetes; Micrococcales; Micrococcaceae. RNAcentral also lists the same sequence under 1 other name.
GGGCGCAAGCCUGAUGCAGCGACGCCGCGUGAGGGAUGACGGCCUUCGGGUUGUAAACCUCUUUCAGUAGGGAAGAAGCGAAAGUGACGGUACCUGCAGAAGAAGCGCCGGCUAACUACGUGCCAGCAGCCGCGGUAAUACGUAGGGCGCAAGCGUUAUCCGGAAUUAUUGGGCGUAAAGAGCUCGUAGGCGGUUUGUCGCGUCUGCCGUGAAAGUCCGGGGCUCAACUCCGGAUCUGCGGUGGGUACGGGCAGACUAGAGUGAUGUAGGGGAGACUGGAAUUCCUGGUGUAGCGGUGAAAUGCGCAGAUAUCAGGAGGAACACCGAUGGCGAAGGCAGGUCUCUGGGCAUUAACUGACGCUGAGGAGCGAAAGCAUGGGGAGCGAACAGGAUUAGAUACCCUGGUAGUCCAUGCCGUAAACGUUGGGCACUAGGUGUGGGGGACAUUCCACGUUUUCCGCGCCGUAGCUAACGCAUUAAGUGCCCCGCCUGGGGAGUACGGCCGCAAGGCUAAAACUCAAAGGAAUUGACGG